This 289-nucleotide ribosomal RNA is filed under the name uncultured Chitinophagaceae bacterium. RNAcentral describes it as "partial 16S ribosomal RNA". Lineage: Bacteria; Pseudomonadati; Bacteroidota; Chitinophagia; Chitinophagales; Chitinophagaceae. The record is from RNAcentral.
CUACCCGGGUUUCUAAUCCUGUUUGAUCCCCACGCUUUCGUGCAUCAGUGUCAAUAAUAGCGUAGCGAGCUGCCUUCGCAAUGGGUGUUCUAUGUCAUAUCUAAGCAUUUCACCGCUACAUGACAUAUUCCGCUCACCUCCACUAUAUUCAAGACAGAUAGUAUCAACGGCAGUUUCUAAGUUAAGCUUAGAGAUUUCACCACUGACUUACCUGCCCACCUACGCACCCUUUAAACCCAGUGAAUCCGGAUAACGCUUGCACCCUCCGUAUUACCGCGGCUGCUGGCAC